This 301-nucleotide ribosomal RNA is filed under the name uncultured bacterium. RNAcentral's name for it is "partial 16S ribosomal RNA". It matches the Rfam family "Bacterial small subunit ribosomal RNA", at positions 509 to 807 of the family's 1533-position model. The record is from RNAcentral.
CAGCAGCCGCGGGAAUACGAGGGGGGCAAGCGUUGCUCGGAAUUAUUGGGCGUAAAGGGUGCGUAGGCGGUUUGAUAAGUCAUCUGUGAAAUCUCUGGGCUCAACCCAGAGUCUGCAGGCGAAACUGUCGAGCUUGAGUAUUGGAGAGGUGAGUGGAAUUUCCGGUGUAGCGGUGAAAUGCGUAGAUAUCGGAAGGAACACCUGUGGCGAAAGCGGCUCACUGGACAAUUACUGACGCUGAUGCACGAAAGCUAGGGGAGCAAACAGGAUUAGAUACCCCCGUAGUCCCUGUCUCUUAUAC